GUCACGAUAGCUCAAACGGUUAAAGCAACGGCGUGUUGAGCCGAAGGUCGUGGGUUCGAUUCCCGCUCGUGACA
Molecule: transfer RNA, 74 nt
Filed under: Cimex lectularius (bed bug)
Lineage: Eukaryota; Metazoa; Arthropoda; Insecta; Hemiptera; Cimicidae
Description: tRNA-Asn
Rfam family: tRNA
About the family: Transfer RNA (tRNA) molecules are approximately 80 nucleotides in length. Their secondary structure includes four short double-helical elements and three loops (D, anti-codon, and T loops). Further hydrogen bonds mediate the characteristic L-shaped molecular structure. tRNAs have two regions of fundamental functional importance: the anti-codon, which is responsible for specific mRNA codon recognition, and the 3' end, to which the tRNAs corresponding amino acid is attached (by aminoacyl-tRNA synthetases). tRNAs cope with the degeneracy of the genetic code in two manners: having more than one tRNA (with a specific anti-codon) for a particular amino acid; and 'wobble' base-pairing, i.e. permitting non-standard base-pairing at the 3rd anti-codon position.
Source: Rfam by way of RNAcentral